UAGCUCAGUGGUAGAGUGUGUGCUUAGCAUACACGAGGUCCUGGGUUCAAUCCCCAG
Molecule: transfer RNA, 57 nt
Filed under: Camelus bactrianus (Bactrian camel)
Lineage: Eukaryota; Metazoa; Chordata; Mammalia; Artiodactyla; Camelidae
Also listed under: 2 other names
Rfam family: tRNA
About the family: Transfer RNA (tRNA) molecules are approximately 80 nucleotides in length. Their secondary structure includes four short double-helical elements and three loops (D, anti-codon, and T loops).
Source: Rfam by way of RNAcentral